Long non-coding RNA from Armigeres subalbatus, 1361 nucleotides. RefSeq lists it as uncharacterized. NCBI's taxonomy places the organism in Eukaryota, Metazoa, Arthropoda, Insecta, Diptera, Culicidae. The transcript has 3 exons. The record is from RefSeq and is a predicted model, not a curated record.
CAACAAAACUUUUAAUUUAACAGUUUUUCUCUCAACAGAAUAUUGUAAUUUUGAAAGUGAUAUUUUUCUAGUGAUAGUUUAGAAAUUUUUAGAUGGUUUCCCAAUCUUCUUGGAAUUUGGCAACACUGGCGAUACAUUUAUUCCAUCUGGCAACUGACUGAAUUGUCAGUUUCAAUUUCGCGGUAAAAAAGUAAAACAUGCGAAAAAGAAUCAUUUUUGCUGAAUUGCCUGCGGACCUCGUCAAAGAACCAGUUCCAAUGAUGAAAAACACGUUGUUUAUCCGUAUUCUGAUGGCCAACGCCGAACCAAGGCAGCAAGCAUCAACCGUUGCAAAAGUAAACCAAAAGUGGCCAAACUUUACCCCGUAAAUUGAACGCAUUACGCAAACAGUUUGUGUUGUAAUUCUGAAAUCCUUUGUGCACCAUAAAAGCUCGCUGGAAAACAUGCCGACUGUAUAGGACAAUCCUUUACGAACCGAUGCGCGAGUAUCCACCGAAGGCCGACUACAGACGUCAUCAGGUACUGGUCGACAUUUCGUCAUAGUCACCAUUCCUAGCAGUUCCGUCGUCGAUUAGGUUGCGGAAUGUAUAUCCUGCUGCAGGUCAAUGAAGAAAGGCAAACCUCCACAACGAAAAACCCAGUUGACAGGGUCUCGUAUGACGGAAAGGUGAAGCUGAAUUUGCUGAACGUAACCGUAGCCGGGUGGAUACAGUGAGAAUGACCAUCAGCUCGGAACUCGGCUUCAAGGGUUAUCACUAUCACCAGAUGGAACAGUAAUCCCAGUCGAGUGGAUGCGUGCUAUCAUCAUGCGCAAAACAACUUGGACACCGCGGAAGGUGGCAGGACAGUUUCAGAUCAAAGAGCUUUCGAAAGAACGACCUAGUGCUAUGUCCGCCGUUUGGCAUGCGGUGCUGCGGCUAUCGUAAAGGAGUGACCGGCGAGUAACGAACGGGACCCAGCUGACACCGCGCAUGCGAAGCAUAUCGAGCACGGCCAUAAUACCACCAACGUAUUCAUCCUCGCUUAUGCGCAACAACAGGAACAAUGGAGGCAGUUAUCGCUGACACACGAUGAAACAAAAUAAUGUUUUUUUUUAAAUAAAUAUGUGAAAAUUUAUUUUGGCUUUUAUUUAAUUGAAAUUGAAAGUGUACAAAAAUUGUAAUUUUAAAAGUUUCACUGUUGAUUCUUAUGUAUAAUACACAUUUAGUUUUAAGAAGAAAAUGUUAUUUUGAAAAGUAAAACAAACAUUUAAUUUUGAGAGAAAAAUGUUAUUUUGAAAGGUUGGCUCUUGUCAAAGUUUAAACUAAAGCGACAUUUUUGCAAUUGUAGUUUUAACAAUGUUAUACUUUCUACUGAAAAUC